RNAcentral lists this ribosomal RNA (488 nucleotides) under uncultured bacterium. Its description in RNAcentral is "bacterial SSU rRNA". It matches the Rfam family "Bacterial small subunit ribosomal RNA", at positions 29 to 494 of the family's 1533-position model. The record is from RNAcentral.
AACAAACGCUGGCGGCGUGCCUAACACAUGCAAGUCGAACGCGAAAAUCGGCUUCGGCCGAUGAGUAAAGUGGCGCACGGGUGAGUAACGCGUGGAUAAUCUACCCUUCAGUUGGGAAUAACUUAUCGAAAGGUGAGCUAAUACCGAAUAAAACUGCCUGACCACGGUCGGGUAGUCAAAGAUAGCCUCUGCUUGCAAGCUUUCGCUGAAUGAUGAGUCCGCGUACCAUUAGCUUGUUGGUGGGGUAAUGGCCUACCAAGGCUGCGAUGGUUAGCUGGUCUGAGAGGAUGAUCAGCCAACUGGAACUGAGACACGGUCCAGACUCCUAGGGAGGCAGCAGUGAGGAAUAUUGCGCAAUGGGGGCAACCCUGACGCAGCAACGCCGCGUGAGUGAGGAAGGUUUUCGGACCGUAAAGCUCUGUCGAGUGGGAAGAAGUGUAUCAUGGCUAAUAUCCGUGAUAUUUGACGGUACCGCUAGAGGAAGACCG